GACGAACGCUGGCGGCGUGCCUAAUACAUGCAAGUGAACGCACAGUUUAUACCGUAGCUUGCUACACCAUAGACUGUGAGUUGCGAACGGGUGAGUAACGCGUAGGUAACCUGCCUGGUAGCGGGGGAUAACUAUUGGAAACGAUAGCUAAUACCGCAUAAUAUUGAUUAUUGCAUGAUAAUUAAUUGAAAGGUGCAAUUGCACCACUACCAGAUGGACCUGCGUUGUAUUAGCUAGUAGGUGAGGUAACGGCUCACCUAGGCGACGAUACAUAGCCGACCUGAGAGGGUGAUCGGCCACACUGGGACUGAGACACGGCCCAGACUCCUACGGGAGGCAGCAGUAGGGAAUCUUCGGCAAUGGACGAAAGUCUGACCGAGCAACGCCGCGUGAGUGAAGAAGGUUUUCGGAUCGUAAAGCUCUGUUGUAAGAGAAGAACGGGUGUGAGAGUGGAAAGUUCACACUGUGACGGUAUCUUACCAGAAAGGGACGGCUAACUACGUG
Molecule: ribosomal RNA, 504 nt
Filed under: uncultured bacterium
Lineage: Bacteria
Description: partial 16S ribosomal RNA
Rfam family: Bacterial small subunit ribosomal RNA
Source: RNAcentral